Xyrichtys novacula (pearly razorfish) is the source of this 2404-nucleotide non-coding RNA. The record is from the annotation of a GenBank genome assembly. Lineage: Eukaryota; Metazoa; Chordata; Actinopteri; Labriformes; Labridae.
AUCCUCAGAGCGGGAGGCUCAAGAAAAACAAAACAUCGAUAUCUGUCUGUACACUGCCGACAUGUUGUAUUGUUGGCUAGCUUACUUUAAGUAAAAACAGGAAACAAUGAGUAUUAGCACUCUUAAAAUAAAGCCAAAAAUACAAUAAUUUUGCACCAAAUUAUUUUUCACCAGGAAGUGGCUGAAUGCUGUUUAAAAAUAAAUUUAUAUUUUUGACCUACUAUAUGGUCUGAUGUCACUUUGGAUUUCCACUAUCCAUUAUCUUGAGGUUAUCCAUAAAUCUCAGAGUAGUAAAAUUACCAAAAUUUCUCAGUUAAUCAUUGGUUAUACAGCUUGUACAGUGUUGGAACUGAUCACCCCUCAAAAUGGCGCUAACCCCCAUAUAGUCCCCUAUAUAGGGAUUAGAGAUCCAUGUCCGACACAGCCUAAGAUUGUCUUGAUAUAGUGAUCCGAAAUAUGAAAAAUGGCUCAUCUUACCCCACUCUCCCCUAUUGUUCAAUUCUUCUCUCUCCCUUUUUUUUUAACUUUAACUGGCAAAAUAGUUGGUGUGUAUCUGGUGGAAGAGGAAAAUAGAUCCUAAAAUGUGCGUGACCGAAACUAAAAGUGUCCAAAUGGCACAGAAAUGGAGGCCAAUGUUCGUCGUAUCCGCUCCUUUAACUGACUGAUGCCUGUCAGUCAUUACCGAGGGCCGCGUUUCUUCACAUCUAGCUACUAGCCGGAAGUUCAUCAACAAGCUAUCCCCAAACGGCCGGAUUAUUUAAGGUAAUAACAGCAUUUCUAAUAAAGUAAGCACGUUUUUUAAAGUCUGUUGUAGUUUUAGCUUGGAUUAUUUACUGUUAUUUAUCAGCUGUAACUCCCUGAAGCUGAAAGUGUGUAUUUUCUGCCUGUAAUUGUUUGUAACAGGAAACAUCUCCACAGGUCUUCACCCUCUCCGGAAACCACGACCCGCUGGCCUCCACACCUAAAGUAAGUUGAAUUAACUACUUCUGCUGGCGUGUUUUGGUGUUUUUAGUUGGUGUGUUGGCUCUUAUUUUUCUGGCUAAACUUAAAUUCAUAUUUGCACUAAUAUUAGUGAUAAAUCUGUGUAUUUGGUUAACAGGCUUCAGUUUGAUGUUUGGUUUGGAGAUAAAUUGGAGAAGUGAUGGUUGUGUGAUAUGGAGGACCAAAGCGGACCCAUGCAUAUGAACCUUUUUUCUGUUUUUCCUCUGUAAAUAUGUUGUUUUCUUAAAUGUUGUUUUUAUUUCCUACAUACUGUUGUGUUAGAAAAGAAAUUUAGGCCUAUUUUCACGUUUUCACUUUUGCAACUUCAGAUUACCAUCAUAUCUUGACAUCUUGGUGUCUUCCCAGUACUAGUCUGGUGGUCUAAUGCUGCGUUCCAGUUGUACUUGGAAGGCCGAAUUUCUGAGCUACGGGUCAGAAAUUCACCUGGAACACCCCCUUGAAGUUAGAUUUCUGACUUGACGACAACGUACACAACGACAAUGACAGUAAAAGCUCUUGUAACGUAUUAUUUAUUCGCACAAGUGGUAUAUGUUGUACUGCCCAACAUCUAACUGUGAACAUGGUGCUAUGGUAUUUGUACGAGUAAAAUAUUGCGCUAUGCAUUGUUUACAACUGAUAAAGCUAACAACAACUAACAACAGUUGACGACUAUUGGCUAACGACAGCUGACAGUAGGCGUCCAUCUUUGUUUUCCGACUUGUUUACUGGAGUGCCGUCCACUUGGGUGUAACAUCAUUCCCAGCUCCGGUAUCCAACUUCCGAGGUAACUGGAACGCAGCAUUAUUGUGGUACUGUGAUGGUGAAAUUGCCUCAUUUCUAGUGUAUGUCUACCUGUUGGUUGUUGCUUUUAUAUUGGUUUUCUUUUGCUCACUGCUUGCCGGGUUGUUAGUUAAAGCUUUGCAUAUCAGCCUUCGAGAUUUAGUCUCUACCAUGGAACCAAUUUGCAUGAAAUACCCCCUCUUUGUGUGAACAUGUGAUGGAAAGUUAAUCCCUACCUGUGACACACACACUUGCAUUAAGCUCAGUGUUACAGAGAUUCUUCAGAUCUAAAGUGACGCAUUUUUGUGCCUUGCUGCUUUGUCAUUUUUCAUGCAUCAUGUCUGUUGUCCUCACGCUCUGUGUUUUAUGCUGCUGCUGUUCAGACUUUUCGCAAACUGUAAUCCUACAUCUGUCCGCUCUUGCUUCUCAAUGCUCUGCUUCCAGCUGUGAUUUUUUGUUUUGUUUUAAAUGUUCUGGCUGCUGCUUGUGUGUCUCACUGCUGUUUCUGCACACCGGCUUCAUAGCUGGGUGAAGCUACCUGCUGAUUUUUUGCAUGAUAAAAAAUGUUGCCUAUGAAGUUUCUUAAACUGCCAUUGCAUAUUUGAUAAGCCUGUCCACCAAAGCAUGCUUCAAGUGUCUUGAA